CUGCCUAGUAGUGGGGGAUAGCUCGGGGAAACUCGAAUUAAUACCGCAUACGACCUACGGGUGAAAGGGGGCGCAAGCUCUUGCUAUUAGAUGAGCCUAAAUCAGAUUAGCUAGUUGGUGGGGUAAAGGCCCACCAAGGCGACGAUCUGUAACUGGUCUGAGAGGAUGAUCAGUCACACCGGAACUGAGACACGGUCCGGACUCCUACGGGAGGCAGCAGUGGGGAAUAUUGGACAAUGGGGGCAACCCUGAUCCAGCCAUGCCGCGUGUGUGAAGAAGGCCUUUUGGUUGUAAAGCACUUUAAGCAGGGAGGAGAGGCUAAUGGUUAAUACCCAUUAGAUUAGACGUUACCUGCAGAAUAAGCACCGGCUAACUCUGUGCCAGCAGCCGCGGUAAUACAGAGGGUGCGAGCGUUAAUCGGAAUUACUGGGCGUAAAGCGAGUGUAGGUGGCUCAUUAAGUCACAUGUGAAAUCCCCGGGCUUAACCUGGGAACUGCAUGUGAUACUGGUGGUGCUAGAAUAUGUGAGAGGGA
Molecule: ribosomal RNA, 533 nt
Filed under: Salmonella enterica subsp. enterica serovar Enteritidis
Lineage: Bacteria; Pseudomonadati; Pseudomonadota; Gammaproteobacteria; Enterobacterales; Enterobacteriaceae
Description: bacterial SSU rRNA
Rfam family: Bacterial small subunit ribosomal RNA
Source: RNAcentral